RNAcentral lists this ribosomal RNA (468 nucleotides) under uncultured bacterium. Its description in RNAcentral is "partial 16S ribosomal RNA". It matches the Rfam family "Bacterial small subunit ribosomal RNA", at positions 28 to 507 of the family's 1533-position model. The record is from RNAcentral.
GACGAACGCUGGCGGCGUGCUUAACACAUGCAAGUCGAACGGAAAGGCCCUGCUUUUGUGGGGUGCUCGAGUGGCGAACGGGUGAGUAACACGUGAGUAACCUGCCCUUGACUUUGGGAUAAGUUCAGGAAACUGGGGCUAAUACCGGAUAGGAGCUCCUGCUGCGUGGUGGGGGUUGGAAAGUUUCGGCGGUUGGGGAUGGACUCGCGGCUUAUCAGCUUGUUGGUGGGGUAGUGGCUUACCAAGGCUUUGACGGGUAGCCGGCCUGAGAGGGUGACCGGCCACAUUGGGCCUGAGAUACGGCCCAGACUCCUACGGGAGGCAGCAGUGGAGAAUAUUGCACAAUGGGCGGAAGCCUGAUGCAGCAACGCCGCGUGCGGGAUGACGGCCUUCGGGUUGUAAACCGCUUUCGCCUGUGACGAAGCGUGAGUGACGGUAAUGGGUAAAGAAGCACCGGCUAACUACGUG